Long non-coding RNA from Sitodiplosis mosellana (orange wheat blossom midge), 509 nucleotides. RefSeq lists it as uncharacterized. The record is from RefSeq and is a predicted model, not a curated record. The transcript has 3 exons. Lineage: Eukaryota; Metazoa; Arthropoda; Insecta; Diptera; Cecidomyiidae.
ACCACGUCGCCUACGGUCUUACAUACACCACCAAAUUCACCAAUAAGUGAUGUUUCAGAAAGAUGUGAAACCGAUGCACAUCAGAAUGCUGUAGAUAGUUCAACAGAAGACGUCAUUUGUUUGACAGACCGUGGGCAUGCCAUACGACAUCGACCAAUCAAGGAACUUGAUGUGAUUUCAGGACGAUUCGCCUUCAUGAGCACGCCAAAAGGGGACCGCAUUUACACUGCAAAUAAUGGCCAACGAUUCAAACUGACAAAAGAAAUAGUUGAUAGACUUUUGUACUACAACAAAAGUCCUACUUGCAAGGAGAACGUCAACAUCGAUAAAACAUUCGUUGAGAUGCUUCUCCUUUCUGUGUUCAGUGUCAACAAUUUGAAACAAAAACAAUUCGAUUUGGAUCUUUUAAAGAUUGUUAAAUAUUUCUACAAACAACGUGUGGGCCGGGACAAAUUGCGAAUGGAAAACUUCAAAAAACACGUGCAAACCAAAUGUAAUGAGCUGAGAAC